GUAGGUGAACCUGCGGAAGGAUCAUUAACACGUAUCCAACGUUAAACAACCCUGUGAACCUUCAUUCCUGCUCUCCUUGUCCCUUGAUAAAGCAAUCCCUGGUAAAUCACGCGAACAGUUUGAUUCAGGGACCUCUUUUGAUACGCACUUGGAUUCGAUGCGGCGUCGUAAUUUAGACUUGGUUUCUGGAAGGCCAUCAACGAGUAAAAUCGUUGACGGACGUAAAGGAUGCUGCCUAAAAAGCAGAUCA
RNAcentral lists this unclassified non-coding RNA (250 nucleotides) under plant metagenome. RNAcentral's name for it is "partial contains small subunit ribosomal RNA, internal transcribed spacer 1, and 5.8S ribosomal RNA". The record is from RNAcentral.